RNAcentral lists this small nucleolar RNA (96 nucleotides) under Cavia porcellus (domestic guinea pig). RNAcentral's name for it is "Small nucleolar RNA SNORA29 (ENSCPOG00000028967.2)". It matches the Rfam family "Small nucleolar RNA SNORA29". From Rfam's summary of the family: ACA29 is a member of the H/ACA class of snoRNA that guide the sites of modification of uridines to pseudouridines. Lineage: Eukaryota; Metazoa; Chordata; Mammalia; Rodentia; Caviidae. The record is from Rfam by way of RNAcentral.
UUUCCCAUUUGACUACCACAUUUUCUCCUGUGAUAGAUUUUAGUGGGAGGGCUUUUCAGUGCCCUCUUCCUAUAUGAAAUGGCUGAACAGAAGAAA